This 253-nucleotide ribosomal RNA is filed under the name uncultured bacterium. RNAcentral's name for it is "partial 16S ribosomal RNA". It matches the Rfam family "Bacterial small subunit ribosomal RNA", at positions 524 to 776 of the family's 1533-position model. The record is from RNAcentral.
UACGGGGGGUGCAAACGUUGCUCGGAAUUAUUGGGCGUAAAGCGCACGUAGGCGGUCUUGUAAGUCGGGUGUGAAAGCCCGGGGCUUAACCCCGGAAGUGCACUCGAAACUGCAAGGCUUGAGUACGGAAGAGGGUCUCGGAAUUCCCGGUGUAGAGGUGAAAUUCGUAGAUAUCGGGAGGAACACCAGUGGCGAAGGCGGAGACCUGGGCCGAUACUGACGCUGAGGUGCGAAAGCGUGGGGAGCAAACAGG